UAUUUAACAUAAAAAUAUUGAUAUUUUAAUAACAUCAAAAUACAUAUUGCAUGGAUUUAUUUUUUUGUGUGUAAUAACUCAUCCUUCUCUUAGGUCUAGUACUCAUAUAAUUCAUGGCGUCAGUCUAGAAUACACAGCGAUUGUUAAUGCACUUAUACUUGCGAACCCAGCUUGGUGGACAAUCAACAAUACCCUUACAUGGAAUAGGAGCAGCAGCCAUCAAGUUUGUAUACCCUGUAAAGAGAAAUAUAGAAUCAAAUUAUGUUACUAAAAAAAAUAAAAUGGGAUAUAAUGACUUUGUCCGAAAUUUGAAAAGUAUAAAAAUAAAAUAGUUUACUGCAAUCAACGCUGUUUGCAAUGAGAAAAAGAAAAACAUAUAAAAUCACAGUGUAUAGAAUUUUAGCCAUAUUUUUCUUUUUUUUGUAUGUAAAAAAUAGAAUGUAAUUUUUUUUUUGUGGGAAAAAUAGAAUAUAAAU
RNAcentral lists this long non-coding RNA (476 nucleotides) under Trifolium pratense (red clover). RNAcentral's name for it is "long non-coding RNA (TPRA_LNC001722)". The record is from RNAcentral. Lineage: Eukaryota; Viridiplantae; Streptophyta; Magnoliopsida; Fabales; Fabaceae.